CCACCAGGCCCUCGUGAUUUGAUGCGGCCGGCUUGCGGCGAGGUAAAACAUACGCGCUAAAGAGGCCUGAUCCCGCCCGCA
Molecule: non-coding RNA, 81 nt
Organism: Komagataeibacter xylinus E25
Lineage: Bacteria; Pseudomonadati; Pseudomonadota; Alphaproteobacteria; Acetobacterales; Acetobacteraceae
Source: Rfam